UGAGAAAUGUAACACGUGAGCCUAUUU
RNAcentral lists this non-coding RNA (27 nucleotides) under Mus musculus (house mouse). The record is from RNAcentral. Lineage: Eukaryota; Metazoa; Chordata; Mammalia; Rodentia; Muridae.